RNAcentral lists this ribosomal RNA (626 nucleotides) under uncultured bacterium. RNAcentral describes it as "bacterial SSU rRNA". It matches the Rfam family "Bacterial small subunit ribosomal RNA", at positions 256 to 882 of the family's 1533-position model. The record is from RNAcentral.
GGUAACGGCCCACCAAGGGGACGAUCAGUAGGGGUUCUGAGAGGAAGGUCCCCCACAUUGGAACUGAGACACGGUCCAAACUCCUACGUGAGGCAGCAGGGAGGAAUAUUGGUCAAUGGGCGAGAGCCUGAACCAGCCAAGUAGCGUGCAGGAUGACGGCCCUAUGGGUUGUAAACUGCUUUUAUAAGGGAAUAAAGUGAGUCUCGUGAGAUUUUUUGCAUGUACCUUAUGAAUAAGGACCGGCUAAUUCCGUGCCAGCAGCCGCGGUAAUACGGAAGGUCCGGGCGUUAUCCGGAUUUAUUGGGUUUAAAGGGAGCGUAGGCCGGAGAUUAAGCGUGUUGUGAAAUGUAGAUGCUCAACAUCUGCACUGCAGCGCGAACUGGUUUCCUUGAGUACGCACAAAGUGGGCGGAAUUCGUGGUGUAGCGGUGAAAUGCUUAGAUAUCACGAAGAACUCCGAUUGCGAAGGCAGCUCACUGGAGCGCAACUGAUGCUGAAGCUCGAAAGUGCGGGUAUCGAACAGGAUUAGAUACCCUGGUAGUCCGCACGGUAAACGAUGGAUGCCCGCUGUUGGUCUGAAUAGGUCAGCGGCCAAGCGAAAGCAUUAAGCAUCCCACCUGGGGAGUA